GAUGAACGCUAGCGGCAGGCUUAAUACAUGCAAGUCGAGGGGCAGCGCAGUGUAGCAAUACACUGGCGGCGACCGGCAAACGGGUGCGGAACACGUACGCAACCUACCCAUAACUGAUGAAUAGCCCUCCGAAAGGAGGAUUAAUACAUCGUAACUUCAUGAUGCGGCAUCGCUUUAUUAAUAUAGCUCCGGCGGUUUUGGGUGGGCGUGCGGCUGAUGAGGUAGUUGGUGUGGUAACGGCCCACCAAGCCUGCGAUCAGUAACUGGUGUGGGGGCACGAGCAGGAAAGCGUGCACGGAGACACGGGGCCGAAGACUACGGGAGGCAGCAGUAGGGAAGAUUGGUCAAGGGACGCAAGUCUGAACCAGGCAUGCCGCGUGAAGGAUGAAGGUCCUCUGGAUUGUAACCUUCGUUUGAAUGGGACGAAACCUAGUUAUCUUGAGAGACUGACGGUACCAUUAGAAGAAGCACCGGCUAACUCCGUG
RNAcentral lists this ribosomal RNA (485 nucleotides) under uncultured bacterium. RNAcentral's name for it is "partial 16S ribosomal RNA". It matches the Rfam family "Bacterial small subunit ribosomal RNA", at positions 28 to 507 of the family's 1533-position model. The record is from RNAcentral.